RNAcentral lists this ribosomal RNA (406 nucleotides) under uncultured bacterium. Its description in RNAcentral is "partial 16S ribosomal RNA". It matches the Rfam family "Bacterial small subunit ribosomal RNA", at positions 30 to 526 of the family's 1533-position model. The record is from RNAcentral.
AUUGAACGCUGGCGGCAGGCCUAACACAUGCAAGUCGAACGAGUGGCGGACGGGUGAGUAAUAUCUGGGAAACUGACUGAUGGAGGGGGUUAACUACUGGAAACGGUAGCUCAUACCGCAUAACAUCAGAUGUGCCCAGAGGGGAUUAGCUUGUUGGUGGGGGAACGGCGCACCAAGGCGACGAUCACUAGCUGGUCUGAGAGGAUGACCAGACACACUUGAACUGAGACACGGUCCAGACUCCUACGGGAGGCAGCAGUGGGGAAUAUUGCACAAUGGGCGCAAGCCUGAUGCAGCCAUGCCGCGUGUAUGAAGAAGGCCUUCGGGUUGUAAAGUACUUUCAGCGGGGAGGCGUUACCCGCAGAAGAAGCACCGGCUAACUCCGUGCCAGCAGCCGCGGUAAUAC